UUCGCCCUUAGAGUUUGAUCCUGGCUCAGGACGAACGCUGGCGGCACGCUUAACACAUGCAAGUCGAACGAGAGAAGAGAAGCUUGCUUUUCUGAUCUAGUGGCGGACGGGUGAGUAACACGUGAGCAAUCUGCCUUUCAGAGGGGGAUACCGAUUGGAAACGAUCGUUAAUACCGCAUAAUAUAAUUGAACCGCAUGAUUUGAUUAUCAAAGAUUUAUCGCUGAAAGAUGAGCUCGCGUCUGAUUAGCUAGUUGGUAAGGUAACGGCUUACCAAGGCGACGAUCAGUAGCCGGACUGAGAGGUUGAUCGGCCACAUUGGGACUGAGACACGGCCCAAACUCCUACGGGAGGCAGCAGUGGGGAAUAUUGCACAAUGGAGGAAACUCUGAUGCAGCGAUGCCGCGUGAGGGAAGAAGGUUUUAGGAUUGUAAACCUCUGUCUUCAGGGACGAAAAAAGACGGUACCUGAGGAGGAAGCUCCGGCUAACUACGUGCCAGCAGCCGCGGUAAUACGUAGGGAGCGAGCGUUGUCCGGAAUUACUGGGUGUAAAGGGAGCGUAGGCGGGAUCGCAAGUCAGAUGUGAAAACUAUGGGCUUAACCCAUAAACUGCAUUUGAAACUGUGGUUCUUGAGUGAAGUAGAGGUAAGCGGAAUUCCUAGUGUAGCGGUGAAAUGCGUAGAUAUUAGGAGGAACAUCAGUGGCGAAGGCGGCUUACUGGGCUUUAACUGACGCUGAGGCUCGAAAGCGUGGGGAGCAAACAGGAUUAGAUACCCUGGUAGUCCACGCCGUAAACGAUGAUUACUAGGUGUGGGGGGACUGACCCCUUCCGUGCCGCAGCAAACGCAAUAAGUAAUCCACCUGGGGAGUACGACCGCAAGGUUGAAACUCAAAGGAAUUGACGGGGGCCCGCACAAGCAGUGGAGUAUGUGGAUUAAUUCGAAGCAACGCGAAGAACCUUACCAGGUCUUGACAUCGUAUGCAUAGCUCAGAGAUGAGUGAAAUCUCUUCGGAGACAUAUAGACAGGUGGUGCAUGGUUGUCGUCAGCUCGUGUCGUGAGAUGUUGGGUUAAGUCCCGCAACGAGCGCAACCCUUACUGUUAGUUGCUACGCAAGAGCACUCUAGCAGGACUGCCGUUGACAAAACGGAGGAAGGUGGGGAUGACGUCAAAUCAUCAUGCCCCUUAUGACCUGGGCCUCACACGUACUACAAUGGCUGUUAACAGAGGGAUGCAAAGCCGCGAGGUGGAGCGAACCCCUAAAAGCAGUCUUAGUUCGGAUUGUAGGCUGCAACCCGCCUACAUGAAGUCGGAAUUGCUAGUAAUCGCAGAUCAGCAUGCUGCGGUGAAUACGUUCCCGGGCCUUGCACACACCGCCCGUCA
RNAcentral lists this ribosomal RNA (1380 nucleotides) under uncultured bacterium. Its description in RNAcentral is "16S ribosomal RNA". It matches the Rfam family "Bacterial small subunit ribosomal RNA". The record is from RNAcentral.